GGCAUGGAAUCCUGUGGCAUCCACAAAAGUACCUUCAACUCCACCAUGAAGUGUGACGUGGACAUCCUCAAAGACCUCUACGCC
MicroRNA precursor from Chlorocebus sabaeus (green monkey), 84 nucleotides. The record is from Ensembl. NCBI's taxonomy places the organism in Eukaryota, Metazoa, Chordata, Mammalia, Primates, Cercopithecidae.